This 167-nucleotide non-coding RNA is filed under the name Ophiophagus hannah (king cobra). RNAcentral's name for it is "Eukaryotic large subunit ribosomal RNA". It matches the Rfam family "Eukaryotic large subunit ribosomal RNA", at positions 967 to 1124 of the family's 3401-position model. The record is from Rfam by way of RNAcentral. Lineage: Eukaryota; Metazoa; Chordata; Lepidosauria; Squamata; Elapidae.
UUUCCCUUAGAAUAGCUGGCAUUUGUGGAUACAAGGUUGCUGCAGUUUUAUCUGGUCAAGUGAAUGAUUAGAGGUCUUAGGGCCAAGAUGAUCUCAAUGUAUUCUCAAACUUUAAAAGGUAAGAAGCCCAGCAUGGAAGAAGGCCGGGCAUGGAAUGCAAGUCGCCU